UACGUAGGUGGCAAGCGUUGUCCGGAUUUAUUGGGCGUAAAGAGCUCGUAGGCGGUUUCGUAAGUCGGAUGUGAAAACUCAGGGCUCAACCCGGAGACGCCAUCCGAUACUGCGAUGACUGGAGUCUGGUAGGGGAUCACGGAAUACCUGGUGUAGCGGUGAAAUGCGCAGAUAUCAGGUGGAACACCGAUGGCGAAGGCAGUGAUCUGGGCCAGUACUGACGCUGAGGAGCGAAAGCGUGGGGAGCAAACAGG
Molecule: ribosomal RNA, 254 nt
Filed under: uncultured bacterium
Lineage: Bacteria
Description: partial 16S ribosomal RNA
Rfam family: Bacterial small subunit ribosomal RNA
Source: RNAcentral